CCUACGGGUGACAGCAGUGAGGAAUAUUGGUCAAUGGGCGAGAGCCUGAACCAGCCAAGUCGCGUGAGGGAAGACGGUCCUAUGGAUUGUAAACCUCUUUUGCCGGGGAGCAAAAAGCGGUACGCGUACCGCAUCGAGAGUACCCGGAGAAAAAGCAUCGGCUAACUCCGUGCCAGCAGCCGCGGUAAUACGGAGGAUGCGAGCGUUAUCCGGAUUUAUUGGGUUUAAAGGGUGCGUAGGCGGAAGGUUAAGUCAGCGGUCAAAUGUCGGUGCUCAACACCGGCCUGCCGUUGAAACUGGUCUUCUUGAGUGAGCGAGAAGUAUGCGGAAUGCGUGGUGUAGCGGUGAAAUGCAUAGAUAUCACGCAGAACUCCGAUUGCGAAGGCAGCAUACCGGCGCUCAACUGACGCUGAGGCACGAAAGCGUGGGGAUCGAACAGGAUUAGAUACCCCAGUAGUC
This 459-nucleotide ribosomal RNA is filed under the name uncultured bacterium. Its description in RNAcentral is "partial 16S ribosomal RNA". It matches the Rfam family "Bacterial small subunit ribosomal RNA", at positions 338 to 795 of the family's 1533-position model. The record is from RNAcentral.